UCUUGAGAAGCGGCGGACGGGUGAGUAAUGCCUAGGAAUCUGCCUGGUAGUGGGGGAUAACGUCCGGAAACGGACGCUAAUACCGCAUACGUCCUACGGGAGAAAGCAGGGGACCUUCGGGCCUUGCGCUAUCAGAUGAGCCUAGGUCGGAUUAGCUAGUUGGUGGGGUAAUGGCUCACCACGGCGACGAUCCGUAACUGGUCUGAGAGGAUGAUCAGUCACACUGGACCUGAGACACGGUCCAGACUCCUACGGGAGGCAGCAGUGGGGAAUAUUGGACAAUGGGCGAAAGCCUGAUCCAGCCAUGCCGCGUGUGUGAAAAGGUCUUCGGAUUG
This 335-nucleotide ribosomal RNA is filed under the name uncultured bacterium. RNAcentral describes it as "bacterial SSU rRNA". It matches the Rfam family "Bacterial small subunit ribosomal RNA", at positions 86 to 425 of the family's 1533-position model. The record is from RNAcentral.